This is a long non-coding RNA of Gallus gallus (chicken), 529 nucleotides long. The record is from Ensembl. Lineage: Eukaryota; Metazoa; Chordata; Aves; Galliformes; Phasianidae.
UGCUGUUUCAACCCUGCCUAUAACUUUGGGUCAGAUUUGAGUUGACCAGCAGAUAUCUCCUCGGGAACAUCCCUUAAAGGAAUUGUGCAAGUAUUUUAAGCCCAGCAGCUUUGGACAACAGCACACUAAAUUAGAUGAAGUUUUAGAGGAAGGUUUGAGAAUUAAGAAGCCGUGAACAGCUCCCAUUUUGCCUACUGGUAGGAAGCACUGAGGGAUCCAACACUUAUACAGGGCUGAGGUGAACUACACCGAGGGACAUGCUGGUUGAUCUGAGGUGCUUCAGUUUCAGCUCUAGGAUGCCUGUUUCUCAGCACUUCGUUCUGUUUUCCCUAGCUCUUCUUUUUUUCUCCUAUCAUUUGCAUGUUUCCCUCUGCACACGCAGGGACCCACAGGUGCAGCCUGCGGCGGCUCAGCUGAUGCUUACUCCAUUUACAGAGAACUGAGCCUUUGUUUUUCCACUCGUCUGCUCUCACAGCGGAACAGAUCUCUAAAAUAAAGUAGGAUCUUAGAAAAAGCUGAAACAAAAGCU